This 301-nucleotide ribosomal RNA is filed under the name uncultured bacterium. Its description in RNAcentral is "partial 16S ribosomal RNA". It matches the Rfam family "Bacterial small subunit ribosomal RNA", at positions 509 to 807 of the family's 1533-position model. The record is from RNAcentral.
CAGUAGCCACGGUAAUACGAAGGGUGCAAGCGUUAAUCGGAAUUACUGGGCGUAAAGCGUGCGUAGGCGGUUUGUUAAGUCUGUUGUGAAAUCCCCGGGCUCAACCUGGGAAUGGCAAUGGAUACUGGCAAGCUAGAGUGUGUCAGAGGAUGGUGGAAUUCCCGGUGUAGCGGUGAAAUGCGUAGAGAUCGGGAGGAACAUCAGUGGCGAAGGCGGCCAUCUGGGACAACACUGACGCUGAGGCACGAAAGCGUGGGGAGCAAACAGGACUAGAUACCCCCGUAGUCCCUGUCUCUUAUAC